Molecule: non-coding RNA, 593 nt
Organism: Chrysemys picta bellii (western painted turtle)
Lineage: Eukaryota; Metazoa; Chordata; Testudines; Emydidae
Source: RefSeq, a predicted model, not a curated record
AAGGAGGCGGGCCUGCCGGCCGGCGUUCUCGAACCUUCAUGCCCGUGCCCGGCUGGGGAAGGGGCCAGUCGCCGGACGGGGUGGAGCUGAGGAAGGGCGGGAUCCAAUCAGAGCUCCAGGCUGCCGCUUUAUUUGCAUAAAGGGGACUUGACGCCGGCUGGUGGGGCGAAGGCGGAAGGAAGGCCGUGAGAGGCUACGAGUAGCCGAGCAGCUACUGGCAGAUGAGAGAUUCAUUCUUCAUUUCCUCUUGUGUGCCCAUUUCCACUAGGAGGAUUGCCAGUUCAGAGGCUAGUGUUGAUAUCAACCUACAUGAAUAAGUUCUCUCCCUCAAUGCAACAAGGAAACAUGGCUUCUUCUUGGUGGAUGCUAAUUGUGGCUGAAUGGAGACCUACCACUUUUUGGUCGGCUUUGGAAUCAUGCAGCAGCCACUCAAUAUCCAGGCUUCUUGGCUCCAGGAGGCCCAGACGGUGGUGACAGGGCAGAGUGACGUUUUCCUCAGCCACCCUCUUAAACUCCGUUUGAGCCCCUGACAUCCAAACUGAACAGGAAGCUGAAAGACACAAACCGGUGGUCAGUGACCAAGAGGAAGGAAA